GGGGAAUUUUCCGCAAUGGGCGAAAGCCUGACGGAGCAAUACCGCGUGAGGGAUGACGGCCUAUGGGUUGUAAACCUCCUUUUUCAGGGAGGAAUCAAUGACGUGUACCUGAAGAAUAAGCAUCGGCUAACUC
This 133-nucleotide ribosomal RNA is filed under the name uncultured bacterium. Its description in RNAcentral is "partial 16S ribosomal RNA". It matches the Rfam family "Bacterial small subunit ribosomal RNA", at positions 356 to 503 of the family's 1533-position model. The record is from RNAcentral.